Magnolia sinica is the source of this 2788-nucleotide long non-coding RNA. RefSeq lists it as uncharacterized. The transcript is spliced from 5 exons. The record is from RefSeq and is a predicted model, not a curated record. NCBI's taxonomy places the organism in Eukaryota, Viridiplantae, Streptophyta, Magnoliopsida, Magnoliales, Magnoliaceae.
AAUCCUUCGUCGAUUUAUACCCCUCCAGGCAAUGGUUAUGUGGACAGGGAGAAGAGGUCUCCUUGUGCUGAAACCAGGAUCAGUGAAACCAAAGAUCCUACUCUUCACAUAAUCGGGCGGAAAGUCUUACCUUUUAUAUUUAUUUCAGUCAUAUUCAAUAUUCAACAGUCUGUGAAAUCGCUUGCUGAGCCUCUAUCGCGAGCCGCAAAAAUUAAGUGGACCAGAACAAUAGAUCAGAUAAUGUUCGAUAUCUUGAUUGAGCAAAUAGCUUUAGGCCGAAAGGCAGAUAAUGGAUUUAAGAGAGAAGCAUAUCAUGCGGCCGCUGAGCAGGUUUCUAGGAGGACUGAAAUUUCUUUAAAUUGGCAAAACGUCCAAACCCGAUUGCGAUAUCACAAGAGAGUGUACAACGAAAUAAAAGAUAUGCUAGCCGCAAGUGGUUUUGGGUGGGACAACGAGCGAAUGGUUGUCACAGCACCUGACGAAGUUUGGAAAGAGUACCUCAAGGUUAGGAUCGUUCACAACACCUAUUUUAGUUCAACCAUAUACAUUUGUUAUAAUUAUCUCUCUUACUUAUAUCUAUUUGAAUAUCAUCUACUUACCAACUCUCUUCCUUAUAUGUAGUCGCAUCCGAGAGCAGAAAGAUUACGUGGUAAACGAAUAGAACGAAUGGACGAUUUAGCGAUGAUCGUAGGUUCAGACCAUGCAACAGGCCGCUACGCCCAAGGAAGCAGAAACAUGGCCGCAUCUUCAUCUCAUAUUCAACGAGAUCUGAAUGAAGCUUGGACGGACCUGGACGAUGACACCGAUGCGCCUAUCGAUAUUUCUGAGGAAAAUCUGGGGGAUUCGACUGGAAAUUAUCAAUUUUCGAAUGAAAGCCAUCGGGCUUCAGGGAAUCGCUCAUUCUGCACCACUCCCAACUGGGCGAUUGAUUCCGAUUGUAGUCGUGGUGGGAGUAUAACAACAAAAAGGAUGUGAUCUGCUUGUCCCUGUGACGUCCUUGGUUUAUCUCUAGAUGGUGUGGCAGAUGCAAUUGCCAAAUUUGGACUUGGCAAUUCAGUCAACCUCACAAGUAGAGUCCUGGACAUCCUCGAAGAGGUUACGGGGCUGACCAACCAUGAGUUCAUCCAGGUUGGUCAGCUUCUGAGCAAGGACAAAGAUCUAGCAUCCUUUUUCGUAAGCCUUCGACCAGAGCGAAGGGUUGAUUGGUUGAAAAAAACACUGUCUGAUAUGAAUGGUAAUGUUGGUGGGGGUUCUACUUGAUGGAUAUAUCAACCUUAAUUACGCUAUUAUAUAGGUGACUAAAUUUGAUGGGAUAUGUAAUAACUAUACUCAUACUUUUGUUGAAUUUGGUGAUACUGUAUUUUAUGAUUUUGGAUAUUCAUACUCUAUACCGCAUGCAUGACAGUAUGUUUUGGGUCAUUCUAAAAUGCCCUUUAAAGUGCGAUUAGCUUUUUAUACUUUUAUAUAUAUCCAUUGUACAACAUGCACAAUUGCGUAUCUUGGUUCUGUUUAUGUGAAUGCAGAUGGGUUCAAGUAAGUAUUACGUCGUACUCAUUGGUCAUCGACCUGGCAUAUAUAUGUCUUGGGAUGAGGCACGAUUGUGUGUAGAAGGAUACAGUGGUGCCAAACAUCGAUCCUUCAAAUCAAUCCAAGAUGCGACUGCAUGGUGGAAUUCUAACCAAGCAAGUACUAGUAAGAUAAUGACCCAGAGUUGUGAUGACGUUGAAAAACCGACCUAUGCCACUAAUUCCAUCCAAGAUAUUUCUAGAUCUAUGGUGUGCAGGAGUACCCAAACAGUUGAUACCCCCACGUGUGACUGGGAAAGACUAGCUGCAAUAGUGAUUGGCAUCCUGGUUACGUUCUUCAUAUUAUAUAUAAUCAUUGAGCUAUAGGAAAUGUGUUCCACCACUUGUUCUAACAUAGUUGUUGAUAGACAUCAGAUAGUUGAUUCCAGUACCGUUUUUCUUUGGCAUGUAUGACUCAGGGAUAUUUAUAUGUUUUAACUUUAUAUAAAUAUGUAUGUACUAAAUACUAGCUAAUCUAUUUCCAGUAACAUGUGUUUUCAUCUACUGCAUGCAUUACAUUCUUUUAACCAUCGCCCAAUAGUGGGGAGUGAAAAUAGAGUUCACAGCAUUUGGACCGGCUGUGAGAAGACAAUUUUUCAAGGACCAGGUAUGCUGUUCCAAAAUCCUAUCGAUUAUAUUAUAAGUAUAUAUAAUAUGUGCACGCAUGUGUAGAUAUACAAGUCGAUCAAUUGCAUGAGAAUGACUACUGGAUCAAUGGAGGAUCCUGCGUUAAAUUGGUAGUCAACAUGAUCUGGUAGAAGCAUAUGAAGCAGUUUACAGGGUCAAUGUAGGAUGGUUUUAAUGUUAAACCAUAUUGUCUCGUCCUUAGGUUUGACAUAAUUUCCACCAAAUAUCUACGUAUUCGUAAUUUGUGCCUAAUUUAAUUGAGUAAACAAUUUGGGAUUGAUUGCCUUGAUUCUACAUCCUUCCACAGUAAGGUCGUGCAACAUACAACCACGCAAGCCUGGAAUUAACCCUGGUAUGAAUGUACAUUUCCUUUUCACAUAACAAGUCACAACAUACUGACAUCACUCGAACAUGAACAGAUACUACUACUUGGUAGAAGAACCUGAAAGUACAUUUGACUGAGAAUAGAUGUUCUCUUCAUUGCAUUAUUAUGAAGGACAGGUUCACCACAUUGUUUAGCCGUGAUGCCGAAUCGAUGCCUAGAGUAUGGAAUGGGUUAGAAGAUAUUUCAGUUGUCACAAAAACUGCACCCUCUA